This 19-nucleotide microRNA is filed under the name Zea mays. RNAcentral describes it as "microRNA miR-3196". The record is from RNAcentral. Lineage: Eukaryota; Viridiplantae; Streptophyta; Magnoliopsida; Poales; Poaceae.
AAUUAUAUUUGAUGAGUAA